CCAGACUCCUACGGGAGGCAGCAGUGGGGGAUAUUGCACAAUGGGGGGAACCCUGAUGCAGCGACGCCGCGUGGGUGAAGGAGCGUUUCGGCGCGUAAAGCCCUAUCGGCAGGGAAGAAGGAGGACGGUACCUGACUAAGAAGCCCCGGCUAACUACGUGCCAGCAGCCGCGGUAAUACGUAGGGGGCAAGCGUUAUCCGGAUUUACUGGGUGUAAAGGGGGCGUAGACGGCUGUGCAAGUCAGAAGUGAAAGCCCGGGGCUCAACCGCGGGACUGCUUUUGAAACUGUGUAGCUGGAGUGCAGGAGAGGUAAGUGGAAUUCCUAGUGUAGCGGUGAAAUGCGUAGAUAUUAGGAGGAACACCGGUGGCGAAGGCGGCCUGCUGGACUGCAACUGACGUUGAGGCCCGAAAGCGUGGGGAGCGAACAGGAUUAGAUACCCCGGUA
RNAcentral lists this ribosomal RNA (445 nucleotides) under uncultured bacterium. RNAcentral describes it as "partial 16S ribosomal RNA". It matches the Rfam family "Bacterial small subunit ribosomal RNA", at positions 331 to 792 of the family's 1533-position model. The record is from RNAcentral.